RNAcentral lists this transfer RNA (68 nucleotides) under Macroxyela ferruginea. Its description in RNAcentral is "tRNA-Trp". The record is from RNAcentral. Lineage: Eukaryota; Metazoa; Arthropoda; Insecta; Hymenoptera; Xyelidae.
AAGGAUUUAAGUUAAAUAAACUAAUAACCUUCAAAGUUAUAAAUAAAAUUAUUAUAUUUUAAGCCUUA